RNAcentral lists this ribosomal RNA (492 nucleotides) under uncultured bacterium. RNAcentral describes it as "partial 16S ribosomal RNA". It matches the Rfam family "Bacterial small subunit ribosomal RNA", at positions 29 to 507 of the family's 1533-position model. The record is from RNAcentral.
AGUGAACGCUGGCGGUAUGCCUAACACAUGCAAGUCGAACGGCAGCACAGUAAGAGCUUGCUCUUACGGGUGGCGAGUGGCGGACGGGUGAGGAAUACAUCGGAAUCUACUUUUUCGUGGGGGAUAACGUAGGGAAACUUACGCUAAUACCUCAUACGACCUACGGGUGAAAGCAUGGGAUCUUCGGACCUUGCGCGAUUGAAUGGGCCGAUGUCGGAUUAGUUAGUUGGCGGGGUAAAGGCCCACCAAGGCGACGAUCCGUAGCUGGUCUGAGAGGAUGAUCAGCCACACUGGAACUGAGACACGGUCCAGACUACUAAGGGAGGCAGCAGUGGGGAAUAUUGGACAAUGGGCGCAAGCCUGAUCCAGCCAUACGGCGUGGGUGAAGAAGGCCUUCGGGUUGUAAAGCCCUUUUGUUGGGAAAGAAAAGCAGCAGGUUAAUACCCCGCUGUUCUGACGGUACCCAAAGAAUAAGCACCGGCUAACUUCGUG